Molecule: ribosomal RNA, 854 nt
Filed under: uncultured SAR324 cluster bacterium
Lineage: Bacteria; Deltaproteobacteria
Description: bacterial SSU rRNA
Rfam family: Bacterial small subunit ribosomal RNA
Source: RNAcentral
AGAGUUUGAUCCUGGCUCAGAACGAACGCUGGCGGCAUGCCUUAUACAUGCAAGUCGAACGAGAAAGUCACUUCGGUGGCGAGUAGAGUGGCGCACGGGUGAGUAACGCGUAGAUGAUCUACCCUUCAGUCUGGGACAACUCUUGGAAACGGGAGCUAAUACCGGAUAAAACCUUCGGGUUGAAAGCUUUAGUGCUGGAGGACGAGUCUGCGUACCAUUAGCUUGUUGGUGGGGUAAGAGCCUACCAAGGCGACGAUGGUUAGCGGGUCUGAGAGGACGAUCCGCCACACUGGAACUGAGACACGGUCCAGACUCCUACGGGAGGCAGCAGUAGGGAAUAUUGCGCAAUGGGGGAAACCCUGACGCAGCAAUGCCGCGUGAGUGAAGAAGGCCCUCGGGUCGUAAAGCUCUUUUAUGGGGGAAGAUGAUGACGGUACCCCAUGAAUAAGCACCGGCUAACUACGUGCCAGCAGCCGCGGUAAUACGUAGGGUGCGAGCGUUGUUCGGAAUUACUGGGCGUAAAGGGCGUGCAGGCGGAUUGGUAAGCCGGAGGUGAAAGCCCGGGGCUCAACCCCGGAGGGUCUUUCGGAACUGCCAGUCUUGAGAGGGUCAGGGGCCAGCGGAAUUCCUGGUGUAGAGGUGAAAUUCGUAGAGAUCAGGAGGAACACCGGCGGCGAAAGCGGCUGGCUGGGGCCACUCUGACGCUGAGGCGCGAAAGCGUGGGGGAGCAAACAGGAUUAGAUACCCUGGGUAGUCCACGCCGUAAACGAUGGGCACUAAGCGUCCGACGGGUUCGACCCUGUUGGGUGCUGCAGUUAACGCGUUAAGUGCCCCGCCUGGGGGAGUACGGUCGC